CUAUACAAAAGGCAAACUCUUUGAAAAAAGAGGACGCAAAGCCACGGGCCUAAGGACAUUUGUCUAUGGCGGCCGGGUUGCCUUA
RNAcentral lists this non-coding RNA (85 nucleotides) under Desulforamulus putei. Its description in RNAcentral is "Desulfotomaculum putei c-di-GMP sequence". It matches the Rfam family "c-di-GMP-I riboswitch aptamer". Rfam says of the family: GEMM was predicted in a large-scale screen for bacterial structured RNA regulatory elements. Genes associated with GEMM are involved in a diverse array of functions, including chemotaxis regulation, signal transduction, secretion and chitin. The record is from RNAcentral. Lineage: Bacteria; Bacillati; Bacillota; Clostridia; Eubacteriales; Peptococcaceae. RNAcentral also lists the same sequence under 1 other name.